GAUGAACGCUGGCGGCGUGCCUAACACAUGCAAGUCGAACGGAAAGGCCCCUUUGGGGGUACUCUAGCGGCGAACGGGUGAGUAACACGGGAGUAACCUGCCCUUGACUUCGGGAUAACUUCAGGAUACUGGGGCCAAUACCGGAUAGGAAUCCUUGCUGCAUGGUGGGGGUUGGAAAGCUUCGGCGGUUUUGGGUGGACUCGCGGCUUAUCAGCUUGUUGGUGGGGUUGUGGCUUACCAAGGCUUUGACGGGUAGCCGGCCUGCGGGGGCGACCGGCCACAUUGAGUCUGAGGGGCGGCCCAGGCUGGUACGGGAGGCAGCAGGGGGGAAGCUUGAACGAGGGGCGGAAGGCUGAUGCAGCAGGGCCGCGUGCGGGAUGACGGCCUUCGGGUGGAAGACCGCUUUCAGCAGGAGCGAAGCUUGUGUUGACGGUACCUGCAGAAGAAGCACCGGCUAACUACGUG
RNAcentral lists this ribosomal RNA (465 nucleotides) under uncultured bacterium. Its description in RNAcentral is "partial 16S ribosomal RNA". It matches the Rfam family "Bacterial small subunit ribosomal RNA", at positions 28 to 507 of the family's 1533-position model. The record is from RNAcentral.